UCCGUGUUAACCACGGCAGUCUCUUUAGAGAGCCCAACUUAAUGAUGGCAACUAAAGACAAGGGUUGCGCUCGUUGCGGGACUUAACCCAACAUGUCACCACACGAGCUGACGACAGCCAUGCAGCACCUGUCUCUCUGUCGUAUUGCUACGAAAACCGUAUUUCUACGGGUGUCAGAGGAUGUCAAACCUAGGUAAGGUUUUUCGCGUUGCUUCGAAUUGAACCACAUGAUCCACCGCUUGUGCGGGCCCCCGUCAAUUCCUUUGAGUUUUAAUCUUGCGACCGUACUUCCCAGGCGGGAUACUUAUCGCGUUGGCUACGAUUCGGCAGGGGUCAAAUCCCACCAAAUCUAGUAUCCAUCGUUUACAGCGUGGACUAC
Molecule: unclassified non-coding RNA, 379 nt
Filed under: uncultured Oligoflexales bacterium
Lineage: Bacteria; Pseudomonadati; Bdellovibrionota; Oligoflexia; Oligoflexales
Description: contains 16S-23S intergenic spacer region
Source: RNAcentral